AGUGCUUGUCAAAAUGCUAUGACAACUGACUGGUUUUAUGCAAACAGAGCCUGGCUCUCAAGAGACAGUGUGUCUGAAAGUCAAACAUGGAUGGCAGCCAUUGGCACACAAAGGAGUCAGAAACCACAGAUUGUUUUCUCGUUGGAUGAACAGCUUAAAGCAACGUAAAGUUAAUUGAAGAAUUCCUUGAAAGUGAAGUCAGACUAAAAAGAAAUGCUCCGAGUCUAUAAUUUACUAAAUGUGAAAGAACUUGUUGUCUUCCUUCCCCACCCACUUUCAGAAAGGAUUUGAUGUUGCCUAGGGUUAAAAUAGAUAAAUAAAAUCAAAACCAUUAGGAUGAAUACGAAGGAACGGGGAAAGAUGUUAUACUCGAAUCCCUGAGAUGGAGUAUGAUUUAAUUCACGUUGGAGAAUAGGCCUUAGCAAAGACUGAGAUUUAUGAAAUGCAGGUUAUAGCUGGCUUUAGAGAAGAAAAGUGGAAAUAAGAAGAGGACAUGUGACUUAGAGCUUGCCAUAAGGUAUGCAGAGCCAACAGAACAUUUUAUUCGGAAUGGCAGCUGGUGGUUUCUGUUAUCUGUGAAUCAUUGUGAAGUCUGUCUGAGGCAGAGAGGAGACAGCUAGCCGAAUUCCCCUUUCGCAAAAACUGAUUCAUAACAUUGUAAAGCUCACAGAAAAUGCAUUUUGUAUCACAAGAACACAUAAAAAUCUCUAUUUUUUGACAUAAAGGCUAUAUUGACGAACUUUAAAAUAAAAAGAACCUGUAAAUGUAAAACCAUAAAGAAACAUUUUUUAAAAUAGUAUGAAUAAUUUAUGGGCAGUUGAAUACAGCUUUUGUUGCUUUGUAGGUAACUCACUUAUAACAAUUGCAUAAAUGGUAAUGCAGUUGUGUGUAACAAAGGACCAUUAAUUAUGACACUUAUGACAAUGAUAACAUAAUUAACUAUUUUUUGAGCUGCUACUAUUUGCUGCCACCUAACAUACAUUAUUACAUUUAUUCCCUGCAACAAGCCUGCAAGGUAGGUAUUAUUCUCCUGUUGAAAAUGAUGCUGAAGUUCAGUCACACAAACACCAAGUACCAGGGCCAAACUGCAAUCCAUAUCCCCCUCACAUGAAAGUUAGUGUGGUUUCCACUCUACUGUUACCAUUGAUGAGACAUGGUAACCAAAAAAAAAAAAGAAUUCAGGAAAACUAUCUUCAACUAUAUUGCUGGAUAGCAUUACUUUAUAAAUAUUAAUUUUACUCUGUGGUUACUGUAUGGUAAUGGAAUUAUUUUGGCCCCUUAAAACCUUAGAAAAAAUCAAACUAAUUGUGCCUUGUAACAUUUGUGGUUUAUGUGU
This 1336-nucleotide long non-coding RNA is filed under the name Homo sapiens (human). RNAcentral describes it as "HSALNT0313160". Lineage: Eukaryota; Metazoa; Chordata; Mammalia; Primates; Hominidae. The record is from RNAcentral.